AGCAGCCGCGGUAAUUCCAGCUCCAAUAGCGUAUAUUAAAGUUGUUGCAGUUAAAAAGCUCGUAGUUGAAUUUCGGGACCAAUAUGUCGGUCGUGCUUCGGUACGUACUUGCAUUAUUGGUUUCUCCCUUCUGAAGAACCAUGAUGUCAUUAAUUUGGUGUCUUGGGGACUCAGGACUGUUACUUUGAAAAAAAUUAGAGUGUUUAAAGCAGGCUCACGCUUGAAUACAUUAGCAUGGAAUAAUGAAAUAGGACGUUUUGAUUCUAUUUUGUUGGUUUCUAGGAUCGACGUAAUGAUUAAUAGGGAUAGUUGGGGGCAUUAGUAUUCAAUUGUCAGAGGUGAAAUUCUUGGAUUUAUUGAAGACUAACUACUGCGAAAGCAUUUUGCCAAGGAUGU
Molecule: ribosomal RNA, 396 nt
Filed under: uncultured Glomeromycotina
Lineage: Eukaryota; Fungi; Glomeromycota
Description: SSU rRNA
Rfam family: Eukaryotic small subunit ribosomal RNA
Source: RNAcentral